This 497-nucleotide ribosomal RNA is filed under the name uncultured bacterium. RNAcentral's name for it is "partial 16S ribosomal RNA". It matches the Rfam family "Bacterial small subunit ribosomal RNA", at positions 28 to 507 of the family's 1533-position model. The record is from RNAcentral.
GAUGAACGCUGGCGGCGUGCCUAAUACAUGCAAGUCGAGCGAACAGACGAGGAGCUUGCUCCUCUGACGUUAGCGGCGGACGGGUGAGUAACACGUGGAUAACCUACCUAUAAGACUGGGAUAACUUCGGGAAACCGGAGCUAAUACCGGAUAAUAUAUUGAACCGCAUGGUUCAAUAGUGAAAGACGGUUUUGCUGUCACUAAUAGAUGGAUCCCCUCCGCAUUAGCUAGUUGGUAAGGUAACGGCUUACCAAGGCGACGAUGCGUAGCCGACCUGAGAGGGUGAUCGGCCAAACUGGAACUGAGACACGGUCCAAACUCCUACGGGAGGCAGCAGUAGGGAAUCUUCCGAAAUGGGCGAAAGCCUGACGGAGCAAGGCCGCGUGAGUGAUGAAGGUCUUCGGAUCUUAAAACUCUGUUAUUAGGGAAGACCAAAUGUGUAAGUAACUAUGCACGUCUUGACGGUACCUAAUCAGAAAGCCACGGCUAACUACGUG